Saccostrea echinata is the source of this 526-nucleotide long non-coding RNA. RefSeq lists it as uncharacterized. Lineage: Eukaryota; Metazoa; Mollusca; Bivalvia; Ostreida; Ostreidae. The record is from RefSeq and is a predicted model, not a curated record. The transcript is spliced from 3 exons.
AUACAUUGCAAGAAUGUUUUACGUCGUUUAGACGACUCAAAAGAAAGACUUGAAGAGGAAUUCCUCGACAUAUGCUAAUACUUGAAUAUCGACAUGAAUGUAAACUUCACAUUUUCUGUCAGGGCUUUUGAGUUGAUGACCACGUUUUAAGUAGAAUAUAAAAAUGCAACAUCAGUAUAUGACAUAGAUUUAUGCAUUGCAUAUACAGAAAUCUCGUUAUGGAGCAUGCCAGUUGUUAGGAACAUGAUUGAUAACAUAACAUGCGAUGGAUCAGUUGUAAGUUACAGACUUUAUUUAAAACCCAAUGCAACCGGGAAAAGAGAGCUUUGUUACGAAAAUACCGUCCUACAGCAGGUAGCAGUAGGGAAUGUUAAUGACCGAAGAAGAAGAGAACUUUGUUGCGAAAUUUUACCUAUCACAAACUUAACCACAACAGAACAGAACAUAGAAACUACAACAUCCCAUUUUAUCUCAAAAUAUACGGAAAUACCAGCUUCUUCAACUUUGGAAUUACCUUCUGAAAUGU